Molecule: long non-coding RNA, 775 nt
Organism: Olea europaea var. sylvestris
Lineage: Eukaryota; Viridiplantae; Streptophyta; Magnoliopsida; Lamiales; Oleaceae
Exons: 2
Source: RefSeq, a predicted model, not a curated record
CAAUUUGUGGAAACAUUAUAUAUUUGUUCCAUAUGAUAGCAUAUGCCUAGCUAUAUAACCAAGGUGAUAUUCAAUGAGAUGUAAAUAAUAAAGUGCAAUUUAACAAUCUACUAUGAAGUUCAGUGAACAAAAAGCUAAGGAAAAGUUUUUUUGGGUCUUAUAACAAGUACCUGGAUUAGAAGUAAACAAUAACAGAAAUGAAAUCUUAUUCUCAAAUAUUUUGAGAUUUGUUAUGUGAAUCUUUUUCGUGACUCCUUUUGACUCGUUGCUACAUGAUUGGAAGUCUUAUAUGAGCUAGAUCCUUAACAACCACAAUGAAACGAGUUAGUUUUCAUCUAUCCUUCCUCUUCUUGCAUGUUCUAGUGAAAUCACUUUUAUAACGAGAGACAUGCCUACCCACGCAAGUGUAACCAUACGAAUGACGUGCAUCAGUUGGUAGAAUUUAAACAAAAAAAUACAGGUCUGCGGGACUAUGAAUACUUAAAAUUUUCCCAAUUUUUCCAGGUCGAAGCCAUUAAGAAAAUUGCAGAGUAUGUCAGUCAGUUGAGGAUGGUAGGAAAAGGACACGGAGUGUGGCACUUCGAUCAGAUGCUCCUCCAUGCAGGUGAUGGUGCGCUUUGAACCACAAGUAGUAAAUUAUGGUCAACUUUUGAGUGUCAGAAUUUCGCUUUGUUAAAAUAAAAUGUUAUGUAGAUGACGAUGUUCUUCAAAGCAUUCUGAAGUUACCUUUCCUGAUUUAUGGUUGGACAGAAAGAUGACUCGAGAAAUUGAAUAA